Molecule: long non-coding RNA, 314 nt
Filed under: Malus domestica (apple)
Lineage: Eukaryota; Viridiplantae; Streptophyta; Magnoliopsida; Rosales; Rosaceae
Description: long non-coding RNA (MDOM_LNC019438)
Source: RNAcentral
AAUAGGGUUUUAGACGAUUUCUGAUUUGUAGAAUGGGAGAUUUUCGGCCAAAGGAGUAAAACACACAUAUAUAGGCACCUAAAACCCUAAUGAAAUCAGAUUGAAACAAUGGGCUAGGGUUAAGGUUUGUAAAAUAGGGCUUCUAGGAUGGAAAGGUGCGGCAUGGGCUUAGGGUUUAUAAUCAGAUUUUUGCAUGUGAACAAGGCCUAGGUGCGGCUGAUUAAGUGGGCUAGGGUUAGGGUUUAGGUGCGGCAUAGGUCCAAGAAGUAAGGAUGGGUCAUCCAAAAGCCCAAAGCCGAGAAUAGAAACUCACG